AUCGAACGCUGGCGGAAUGCUUUACACAUGCAAGUCGAACGGCAGCACGGACUUCGGUCUGGUGGCGAGUGGCGAACGGGUGAGUAAUACAUCGGAACGUGCCCAGUCGUGGGGGAUAACGUAGCGAAAGCUACGCUAAUACCGCAUACGAUCUAAGGAUGAAAGCGGGGGAUCGCAAGACCUCGCGCGAUUGGAGCGGCCGAUGGCAGAUUAGGUAGUUGGUGGGGUAAAGGCCUACCAAGCCGACGAUCUGUAGCUGGUCUGAGAGGACGACCAGCCACACUGGGACUGAGACACGGCCCAGACUCCUACGGGAGGCAGCAGUGGGGAAUUUCGGACAAUGGGCGCAAGCCUGAUCCAGCCAUUCCGCGUGCAGGAUGAAGGCCCUCGGGUUGUAAACUGCUUUUGUACAGAACGAAAAGGCUCUGGUUAAUACCUGGGGCUCAUGACGGUACUGUAAGAAUAAGCACCGGCUAACUACGUGCCAGCCGCCGCCGUAA
This 500-nucleotide ribosomal RNA is filed under the name uncultured bacterium. Its description in RNAcentral is "partial 16S ribosomal RNA". It matches the Rfam family "Bacterial small subunit ribosomal RNA", at positions 30 to 523 of the family's 1533-position model. The record is from RNAcentral.